RNAcentral lists this ribosomal RNA (300 nucleotides) under Triticum aestivum (bread wheat). RNAcentral describes it as "partial small subunit ribosomal RNA". Lineage: Eukaryota; Viridiplantae; Streptophyta; Magnoliopsida; Poales; Poaceae. The record is from RNAcentral.
AUGAAUGGUGAUGAUGGUGUGUGGCAUGUUUGCAAAAAGGUCUCAUCCACUCCUAUAUGCAAAAAAGAUCCCGUCUCUCUGGACCAGCCGCAUCCCUUCUCACCCCAUCUUAACACACUUCCGAUAUCCUUUUUGAUAUAUACGUACCAAACUCUAUUUCAAGUUUGUGAAUAUGUAUUGGUCCAUUUUGAAUGUGUUGACACUUUUCCUUGCUUUUGGGGAGGAAGCACAGGCAUUUUGAGCUAUGCUCACGGCGCGCAAAAGAACAUGACUUUGGCACCUUCAAAUAUUUCAAUGUAA